Molecule: long non-coding RNA, 859 nt
Organism: Cyprinus carpio carpio
Lineage: Eukaryota; Metazoa; Chordata; Actinopteri; Cypriniformes; Cyprinidae
Source: Ensembl
CACAAAAAAGGCUGAUUAUGGAUUUCAUAGUCAUCACUUCUAUAUUGAUCCGGUUUGUCUUUUUGAAGUGAUGGAAGAUGAUAAUGUACGGCGAAUCGGACAGCGUGUCCUCCGCCUGUGCCUGUGUGUCGGUGAUGGAGGUGUCCUAUUGAAGCUUUGAUACAAGAUCUUGACAGCCAUAGUGACCGGCGCAUUGAUCGAGUCAUUAACAGGAGGAGGCAGAACUAUGGCUUGGCGAGAUGUUCUUGAUCCUGUCGUGUGUGUGCUAAUGUUUCAGACUGCCACACAUGGAACAGGAAAGGCGUGAGCAGUCAAUCAUGCUGCAGAUGUGUUGAAAAGAGGGAAUAAAAAAAUCAAUCGUCACAGCCAUCCGAACUGCAGCGGGAUAAAGACUCUGCCCAUGUCAACAAGCUGAUAAAAUGGCAUGCCUGACUUCACACGACGACCAGCCUGCAAAGCUGCAUAGUCCAACAUGUCUUAUUAUUAUUCUGGGAACCAUCUGGUCCCUCCACAGCUGCCAGUGUGCGGGGCCAACGGCGGCCCGAGGGCAAUGCCACCAUCAUCACGCUCCAGCGUGGCUCAGCCUGCUCUUCCCUGCCACUCUGACAUGGAAAUUCUGUUAGGCUUCAGCCCAUCAGAGCCAUCAAAACUGCAUUCCCAUAAUCUGCAGCCAUCAAAAGUGACACAAUUCCGUCCUCCACCUUAAGAUGGCAGUAGAGUCUCAGCUAUAUCACGUAGGGGGCGUGCUAGAGAAUUAUUUAAGUCUUUCCAGGGCUAUUUAUUUUAUUAUUUUUUUGUUUAUCCUUUAUAUUUGGUGACACACAGAGUUUUAGUGUAAUAGAAAGUUCCGUGGGUGAGG